RNA transcript from Carassius auratus (goldfish), 789 nucleotides. It is a transcript of the gene named coiled-coil domain containing 169, with no coding region annotated. The transcript is spliced from 9 exons. The record is from RefSeq and is a predicted model, not a curated record. Lineage: Eukaryota; Metazoa; Chordata; Actinopteri; Cypriniformes; Cyprinidae.
ACGUGAUUGCGUAAUCAAUGUUGCGGUUGUUCGUUGCCGUGGAUACAGCCCAACAUUCACAAAUACACCGAAGAAAGUGAAACCUGUUCAUUAUACUCAGACUGAGGAUGGCAGAAACUGAUCUAAGAAAUUAUGAGUUAUCCCAACUGCAAGCCGAAGUCGAGCAGGAGAGAGAGGUCAAGGAGAUGUUAAAGGACUCCGUGUCUGACCUGAGGAGCACACUAUCUGAUUUGGAGAAGAGACUUCACAGUGUUGACGGAGAAGAGAACGAGUGGAGAACCAGAUAUGAGACACAGCUGGAACUGAACGAGCAGCUGGAGAAACAAAUCAGUGUCGUUCAAGAGAGACUGGAGACGCUCCGCGGUGACCCCUCAGAUCGACUGGCUUCUAUUCGCUCAUAUGAUGAAAUGUCAGAGGAUGCUCUCAGACAGAGGCUGAAAUUGCUGUCUACAGAGAAGUGCGGCCUUCAAUCCCAACUGAAGGACUUCCAAAUAAGAAUUGUGCAGGAAGGAAAGGCUUACCAGAAAGUCUACGAAGAGAGGCGGGCGUAUCUUGCAGAGAUCGCAAAGCUGUCUUCAACGCUGGAUAUGAGCAGAAAGCAGCAGAUGGUUCAAGCCCGGAGGAAAGCCCUGGGUCCAGACAAAACGUAAAUGUGAAAACGCACUGUACAUCUUCAAAUGAUACCACUUUGGUUCAUAGGAAACAAUGCCAGCAGAGGCCAGGAGAGUAUGAGGCAACAUUCAAGUAUGAUGAAGGGAUCUGUCAAAAAAGCACCAGCAAGCAGUCGAC